AUUCAACACAACAGUUCAGAGGAGGAAACAGAAAUAUCUAGAAAUAUUGUUUGAGUUUGUCUAGUUCCUCCAUGGUUGUGAGAGGAAAGACAUCAUCCUCGCUGUCCACCAGCAGCACUGGAGCACUGGAACGACUGUUAGCUGCAAGAGACUGGACCACUGAAGACAGAUGAUUGAUCUUCAGGUCCAGUUCGUUAAGUGCCUCCAGAAUUGUCCUCUCAACAGCUGCAACACAUUAGAUGGGUGUUCACCCCAAGCAUCCUCUUGCUCAUUUUCAUUGGACAAGCUCACAGGAACAGCUGGAGUUAAGAAAGGUGAAGUUGGUAAGUUGUAUUUGCUACCAUGACAGUGCAUGACACUGAUACACUAUGGGCUAGAUUUACUAACAGCUUGCGCCAGCACAAACCUUCUUUUGGUGUUAAAAUAGUACUGUCAGGAUUUACUGAAGAGGCGCGGUAAAGAAUUAGUGCUGAAAAGACGUGGACACAGUUGUUUUUGCAUUUAACCUUACUAAAUAUGCAUUUGUAGUAGUUUUCCUUUCAGACGCAAAAUUUAUGGGAGGAGAGUAUUAAGAUGAAUCAUGCAAUGAUUUAAUAACAUCUGUGCUCUUCAAAUUAUUUGUAUUUGCUAAAUUUUUAAUACCCAAAAAGGCGGGGCAUAGAGGACCUACAAUAAUGUACAGUAUUUGAAAAAUAAUGUUUUUUGAAUAUUAAAGCAUGUCAACAUAUUCUGUUACACCAAAUACACAAAAUAAUGAUCUUUAAAAAAGCAUCAUAUGACCCCUUUUAGUGAUACCCCAGUAAUGACUGAAAUUAACCAGAUGUUUUUUUUUUUUUUUACUUUGCAUUCUUUCGUGUUGUGUGGUUGAUGGUCUUUGGUCUUGAGAGAGUCUUAGGACAGAGAACAUGUUCUCUAUUUAGAAAAAGUGGAAAAAAAUGUUGUAUUAGCUUGUGUUAGGCCAUGACUCAUUUGCGAUUGUGUUUUUGAUUUCCU
Cyprinus carpio carpio is the source of this 993-nucleotide long non-coding RNA. NCBI's taxonomy places the organism in Eukaryota, Metazoa, Chordata, Actinopteri, Cypriniformes, Cyprinidae. The record is from Ensembl.